GGCGCUAUGGCUGAGUGGUUAAAGCGACAGACUAGAAUCUGAUCCUUAAGGAUUGGAAGUCAAUCUGUUCCGGUCUCCGGGCGCAGGUUCGAAUCCUGCUGGCGUCG
Thelephora ganbajun is the source of this 107-nucleotide non-coding RNA. The record is from the annotation of a GenBank genome assembly. NCBI's taxonomy places the organism in Eukaryota, Fungi, Basidiomycota, Agaricomycetes, Thelephorales, Thelephoraceae.